GAUGAACGCUGGCGGCGUGCCUAAUACAUGCAAGUCGAGCGAACAGACGAGGAGCUUGCUCCUCUGACGUUAGCGGCGGACGGGUGAGUAACACGUGGAUAACCUACCUAUAAGACUGGGAUAACUUCGGGAAACCGGAGCUAAUACCGGAUAAUAUAUUGAACCGCAUGGUUCAAUAGUGAGAGACGGUUUUGCUGUCACUUAUAGAUGGAUCCGCGCCGCAUUAGCUAGUUGGUAAGGUAACGGCUUACCAAGGCAACGAUGCGUAGCCGACCUGAGAGGGUGAUCGGCCACACUGGAGCUGAGACACGGUCCAGACUCCUACGGGAGGCAGCAGUAGGGAAUCUUCCGCAAUGGGCGAAAGCCUGACGGAGCAACGCCGCGUGAGUGAUGAAGGUCUUCGGAUCGUAAAACUCUGUUAUUAGGGAAGAACAAAUGUGUAAGUAACUAUGCACGUCUUGACGGUACCUAAUCAGAAAGCCACGGCUAACUACGUG
RNAcentral lists this ribosomal RNA (497 nucleotides) under uncultured bacterium. RNAcentral's name for it is "partial 16S ribosomal RNA". It matches the Rfam family "Bacterial small subunit ribosomal RNA", at positions 28 to 507 of the family's 1533-position model. The record is from RNAcentral.